ACAGCCCCAAAAUGUAUAGCAAAAUGUAUGAACAUUUUAGUCAUCGCCUCAUCGGACCAUGUUGCGAUAGUAAUGAAGAAAAAGUUCGAUAGUGUUGAAUUAAGGUCACAAAUCAAUACACAGCAGAAACAGAAGCUAUGAUCACAAGACAUGAUAAAGGAUGAGAAUGAUCUUGGUCAUUGGAAUAUGUUGCCAUGUCAAAUGAUUCUUGGUGUGUGCUGCUGCUUCGUCGCUUGAUUUCUCACUACGCCGAUUAAUUGUAUUCAACGAGAUGGUUUGGGUCAAGAACUUCAGUGGCCUGUAGAGGAGGAUUAAGUUGUGUAAGAGUUAAGACCAUCCACAAUGGUGGUUUUUUAGGAGUACCUAAAUUAUUAAACAAAUAAAAAAAAUGAAAAAGGAAGAGAGAGACAUAGAAUCGUUUCUAAAACAAGGUACUCAUAAAAAAUUGUCUCUACACAUGUUCUUCAUUUAGUGGUCCAUUUUUUAUUUAAAAUUUAAAUUUAAAUAUAAAA
Arabidopsis lyrata subsp. lyrata is the source of this 512-nucleotide long non-coding RNA. RefSeq lists it as uncharacterized. The transcript is spliced from 2 exons. The record is from RefSeq and is a predicted model, not a curated record. Lineage: Eukaryota; Viridiplantae; Streptophyta; Magnoliopsida; Brassicales; Brassicaceae.